UGGGGAAUUUUCCGCAAUGGGCGAAAGCCUGACGGAGCAAUACCGCGUGAGGGAGGAAGGCUCUUGGGUUGUAAACCUCUUUUCUCAGGGAAGAAAAAAAUGACGGUACCUGAGGAAUAAGCAUCGGCUAACUCCGUGCCAGCAGCCGCGGUAAUACGGAGGAUGCAAGCGUUAUCCGGAAUGAUUGGGCGUAAAGGGUCCGCAGGUGGCAUUGUUUGUCUGCUGUUAAAGAGUCACGCUCAACGUGAUCAAAGCAGUGGAAACUACAAAGCUAGAGUAUGAUCGGGGCAGAGGGAAUUCCUGGUGUAGCGGUGAAAUGCGUAGAUAUCAGGAAGAACACCGGUGGCGAAGGCGCUCUGCUAGGCCAAAACUGACACUGAGGGACGAAAGCUAGGGGAGCGAAUGGG
This 407-nucleotide ribosomal RNA is filed under the name uncultured bacterium. Its description in RNAcentral is "bacterial SSU rRNA". It matches the Rfam family "Bacterial small subunit ribosomal RNA", at positions 355 to 776 of the family's 1533-position model. The record is from RNAcentral.